Molecule: small nucleolar RNA, 136 nt
Organism: Mastomys coucha (southern multimammate mouse)
Lineage: Eukaryota; Metazoa; Chordata; Mammalia; Rodentia; Muridae
Product: small nucleolar RNA SNORA17
Exons: 1
Source: RefSeq, a predicted model, not a curated record
UAUGGUACUAGAGGCACUGGAGGUGUGGCUGCUGUGACACAUGUGUAUUGGCCAGUAGGUUGUAGAGAGGGGAGAGACUAUAUUUCUGCUCAGCGUCGUGACUUAGGAACAUCUGAAUGAUUAGUAGUCUAACAUU